Molecule: long non-coding RNA, 828 nt
Filed under: Citrus sinensis (sweet orange)
Lineage: Eukaryota; Viridiplantae; Streptophyta; Magnoliopsida; Sapindales; Rutaceae
Description: long non-coding RNA (CSIN_LNC005033)
Source: RNAcentral
AUAGGUAGAUUAAAUUCUCUAAACAACCUUUCUUUGCACUCAAAUUAUUUAGAAGAUUUAAUCCCGCAGUCUUUGGGUAACUUAACCAACUUGGUUACCUUGUAUAUUUAUAACAAUUCACUUUCUGGUUCAAUUCCAAGUGAAUUAGGAAACCUGAAGUCUCUUUCUGAUCUAGAAUUGGGCAACAAUAAACUCAGUGGCUCGAUUCCUCAUUCUUUGGGUAACUUAACCAACUUGGUUACCUUGUAUAUUCAUAACAAUUCACUUUCUGGCUUAAUUCCAAGUGAAAUAGGAAACUUGAAGUCUCUUUCUAAUCUAGCAUUGAGCAGUAAUAAACUUAGUGGCUCAAUCCCUCAAUCUUUGGGCAAUUUGAGCAACUUAGCUAUGUUGUAUCUUUAUAGCAAUUUACUUUUUGGUUCAAUUCCAAGUGAAUUAGGAAACCUGAAGUCUCUUUCCGAUCUAGAAUUGGCCAACAAUAAACUCAGUGGUUCGAUUCCUCAUUCUUUGGGUAACUUAACCAACUUGGUUACCUUGUAUAUUCAUAACAAUUCACUUUCUGGCUUAAUUCCAAGUGAAAUAGGAAACUUGAAGUUUCUUUCUAAUCUAGCACUGAGCAGUAAUAAACUUAGUGGCUCAAUCCCUCAAUCUUUGGGCAAUUUGACCAACUUAGCUACGUUGUAUCUUUCUAUCAAUUCAUUUUUUGGUUCAAUUCCAAGUGAAUUAGGAAAUUUGAAAUCUCUUUCCAUUCUAGAUUUAGGGUUCAAUAAACUCAGUGGCUCAAUCCAUAUUUCUUUGAGUAACUUGACCAACUUGGCUUACUUGAGUUUG